This 406-nucleotide ribosomal RNA is filed under the name uncultured bacterium. RNAcentral describes it as "partial 16S ribosomal RNA". It matches the Rfam family "Bacterial small subunit ribosomal RNA", at positions 30 to 526 of the family's 1533-position model. The record is from RNAcentral.
AUUGAACGCUGGCGGCAGGCCUAACACAUGCAAGUCGAGCGAGCGGCGGACGGGUGAGUAAUGUCUGGGAAUCUGCCCGAUGGAGGGGGAUAACUACUGGAAACGGUGGCUAAUACCGCAUACCAUCAGAUGUGCCCAGAUGGGAUUAGCUAGUAGGUAGGGUAAUGGCUCACCUAGGCGACGAUCCCUAGCUGGUCUGAGAGGAUGACCAGCCACACUGGAACUGAGACACGGUCCAGACUCCUACGGGAGGCAGCAGUGGGGAAUAUUGCACAAUGGGCGCAAGCCUGAUGCAGCCAUGCCGCGUGUGUGAAGAAGGCCUUAGGGUUGUAAAGCACUUUCAGUGGGGAGGCGUUACCGGCAGAAGAAGCACCGGCUAACUCCGUGCCAGCAGCCGCGGUAAUAC